CCUCUCCUUGUCUGUGCACGGAUGGCUGGAUGACUCUGGAGCCCAGGCUGUUGCUUCCCAGUCUGGUGGUGAACCCUCCAUAGUCCAAUGAGUGUGUUGUCCAACUCUGGAGCCCAGCCUGUUGCUUCCUGGUCUGGUGGUGAGAGGCCGACUCUGGAGCCCAGGUUGUUUCUUCCCAGUCUGGCGGUGAAUCCUCCAUAGCCUGGGAAUAACCUAUCUACUAACGGUCAGCACCUGUGUCUUUGUGUCUGAGGCCAAGAAUAAAUUCAUCAGCUGGGUAGCCACUGCUGCAACUGAAGCCAUCCACAGUCAAUGUUGGCUAUAUGUUGAGUUACCGGAGGCUGCCUGGGAUGGGCUAUCUUGAAGAAUCGUCCCUGACAACAUUUCUGAAUGGCUAUAUUGUUACCAGUGUGGCCACAACAACAACACUUGCAAUCCAACCUGGGCUUCCUUUCACCACACUAAGCAAUCUAUCUUUGCCAGGUCAGACAAAAGAUGAACUCCACCCUCACCUUGCAUCAAAAGUCUUGAUAUCUUGCCCAAUAAUCCUAGAAUGGAAUACACUGAAAACCUGCUGUGCUGGUGGCCGGAUUCCAUACAGGCUUCGCUUUGUCUGGAGGCCUUAAAUGGCUCCUCUAAUGUUUCUUUGGGGUUUCUUCAGACAUUUGUCAACACAUACUCCAAAUCAACAACACUGCCCCCAAUGUACCACAAUCUCUUUCCUAUUUUAAUAACACAUUAGUACACUAUGAUUACAGUAGCUCCAUUGCUGUCCCCUGGGGGGCCCUCUGGGUAUGCAGAUCCUAUGGGUUGCAAUACUGUCCCUGCAUUGGAUGGGAAGAUGCACUUGGGGGUGGACAUUAAUUCCAUUCACUAUCCAGGAUAAUACUCCCUUCCCCAGUAAUCUAGAUGCUUACAAACACCACUGGUUACAAAUGUGCUGGACUCCCUGGUGGUGGUACCCUAUCACAGUAUUCUCCCCUGCCACCAGUACAUUCCUCCUUCACCAACACAUUAAAAUAUUUACCUUACAUGUAGAAAAAGCUCUUAAUGAUAGUAGCACUGAACUUGUGUUGUUAUCAGAUGAAUUUGCUCAUCUGAGUACUGUUGUGUUGCAAAAUCAAAUGGCAUUAAAA
This 1136-nucleotide long non-coding RNA is filed under the name Pan troglodytes (chimpanzee). RNAcentral's name for it is "long non-coding RNA NONPTRT008031". The record is from RNAcentral. Lineage: Eukaryota; Metazoa; Chordata; Mammalia; Primates; Hominidae.